UACGUAGGGCGCGAGCGUUGUCCGGAAUUACUGGGCGUAAAGCGCACGUAGGCGGCUCUUUAAGUCGGGGGUGAAAUCCUGGAGCUCAACUCCAGAACUGCCUUCGAUACUGAAGAGCUCGAGUCCGGGAGAGGUGAGUGGAACUGCGAGUGUAGAGGUGAAAUUCGUAGAUAUUCGCAAGAACACCAGUGGCGAAGGCGGCUCACUGGCCCGAUACUGACGCUGAUGCACGAAAGCGUGGGGAGCAAACAGG
This 253-nucleotide ribosomal RNA is filed under the name uncultured bacterium. RNAcentral describes it as "partial 16S ribosomal RNA". It matches the Rfam family "Bacterial small subunit ribosomal RNA", at positions 524 to 776 of the family's 1533-position model. The record is from RNAcentral.